AGAUUGAACGCUGGCGGCAUGCUUUACACAUGCAAGUCGAACGGUAACAGGCCGCAAGGUGCUGACGAGUGGCGAACGGGUGAGUAAUGCAUCGGAACGUGCCCAGUCGUGGGGGAUAACGCAGCGAAAGCUGUGCUAAUACCGCAUACGAUCUAUGGAUGAAAGCGGGGGACCGAAAGGCCUCGCGCGAUUGGAGCGGCCGAUGUCAGAUUAGCUAGUUGGUGGGUAAAGCCCACAAGGCGACGAUCUGUAGCUGGUCUGAGAGGACGACCAGCCACACUGGAACUGAGACACGGCCAGACUCUACGGGAGCAGCAGUGGGAAUUUGGACAAGUGGGCGCAAGCCGUGACGUCCAGCAAUGCCGCGUGCAAGGAAGAAGGCCC
RNAcentral lists this ribosomal RNA (384 nucleotides) under uncultured soil bacterium. Its description in RNAcentral is "bacterial SSU rRNA". It matches the Rfam family "Bacterial small subunit ribosomal RNA", at positions 26 to 417 of the family's 1533-position model. The record is from RNAcentral.